Molecule: ribosomal RNA, 264 nt
Filed under: uncultured archaeon
Lineage: Archaea
Description: partial 16S ribosomal RNA
Rfam family: Archaeal small subunit ribosomal RNA
Source: RNAcentral
CACGACUACAUUAGAUACCCCCGGUAGUCCUAGCCGUAAACGAUACUCGCUAGGUGUCGGCCACGGUGCGACCGUUGUCGGUGCCGUAGGGAAGCCGUGAAGCGAGCCACCUGGGAAGUACGGCCGCAAGGCUGAAACUUAAAGGAAUUGGCGGGGAGCACCACAACGGGUGGAGCCUGCGGUUUAAUUGGACUCAACGCCGGGAAGCUCACCAGAUAAGACAGCGGAAUGAUUGCCGGGCUGAAGACCCUGCAUGACCAGCUG